This 591-nucleotide ribosomal RNA is filed under the name uncultured bacterium. RNAcentral's name for it is "bacterial SSU rRNA". It matches the Rfam family "Bacterial small subunit ribosomal RNA", at positions 1 to 590 of the family's 1533-position model. The record is from RNAcentral.
GCCCUUAGAGUUUGAUCCUGGCUCAGAUUGAACGCUGGCGGCAUGCCUUACACAUGCAAGUCGAACGGUAACAGGUCUUCGGAUGCUGACGAGUGGCGAACGGGUGAGUAAUACAUCGGAACGUGCCCGAUCGUGGGGGAUAACGAGGCGAAAGCUUUGCUAAUACCGCAUACGAUCUACGGAUGAAAGCGGGGGAUCUUCGGACCUCGCGCGGACGGAGCGGCCGAUGGCAGAUUAGGUAGUUGGUGGGAUAAAAGCUUACCAAGCCGACGAUCUGUAGCUGGUCUGAGAGGAUGAUCAGCCACACUGGGACUGAGACACGGCCCAGACUCCUACGGGAGGCAGCAGUGGGGAAUUUUGGACAAUGGGCGAAAGCCUGAUCCAGCCAUGCCGCGUGCAGGAUGAAGGCCUUCGGGUUGUAAACUGCUUUUGUACGGAACGAAAAGCCUCUUUCUAAUAAAGAGGGGUCAUGACGGUACCGUAAGAAUAAGCACCGGCUAACUACGUGCCAGCAGCCGCGGUAAUACGUAGGGUGCAAGCGUUAAUCGGAAUUACUGGGCGUAAAGCGUGCGCAGGCGGUCUUGUAAGACA